This 274-nucleotide ribosomal RNA is filed under the name uncultured bacterium. RNAcentral's name for it is "partial 16S ribosomal RNA". It matches the Rfam family "Bacterial small subunit ribosomal RNA", at positions 523 to 796 of the family's 1533-position model. The record is from RNAcentral.
AUACGGAGGGUGCAAGCGUUGUUCGGAAUCAUUGGGCGUAAAGCGCGUGUAGGCGGCUAGGUAAGUCGGGUGUGAAAUCCCGGGGCCCAACCCCGGAACUGCAUUCGAAACUGCCUAGCUAGAGUCUCGGAGAGGAAGGCGGAAUUCCCGGUGUAGAGGUGAAAUUCGUAGAUAUCGGGAGGAACACCAGCGGCGAAGGCGGCCUUCUGGACGAUGACUGACGCUGAGACGCGAAAGCGUGGGGAGCAAACAGGAUUAGAAACCCGAGUAGUCC